GGUCCUUCGGGGUCAGCGUUUAUUAGAUAAAGAACCAACAUUUUGGUGCUUCAUGGUAACCAUUCGGAUCGCACGCUCAGCGGCGAUGGUUCAUUCAAGUUUCUGACCUAUCAGCUCUCGACGGUCGGGUAGUGGCCCACCGUGGCUUUGACGGGUAACGGGGAAUUGGGGUUCGAUUCCGGAGAGGGAGCCUGAGAAACGGCUACCACGUCUAAGGAUGGCAGCAGGCGCGUAAAUUACCCAAUCCCGACACGGGGAGGUAGUGACAAGAAAUAGCAACGCGAGGCAUAUGUCUUGUGAUUGCAAUGAGUAGAAUCUAAAUGUUUCUACGAUUAACAAUUAGAGGGCAAGUCUGGUGCCAGCAGCCGCGGUAAUUCCAGCUCUAAUAGCGUAUAUUAAAAUUGUUGCAGUUAAAACGCUCGUAGUUGAAUAUCUGUCUCCUAAUUGCUUGGUCCGCAAUGCGAGUACCAAGCAUUAGAGGCAUCCGUUUGCAUAUUUGAUUCUAUCGAAUUUGCAAACCGUUCACUUUGAGGGAAUUAGAGUGUUCAAAGCAGGCGUCAGCCUUGAAUACUUCAG
This 576-nucleotide ribosomal RNA is filed under the name uncultured eukaryote. RNAcentral describes it as "bacterial SSU rRNA". It matches the Rfam family "Eukaryotic small subunit ribosomal RNA", at positions 188 to 807 of the family's 1831-position model. The record is from RNAcentral.